RNAcentral lists this ribosomal RNA (253 nucleotides) under uncultured bacterium. Its description in RNAcentral is "partial 16S ribosomal RNA". It matches the Rfam family "Bacterial small subunit ribosomal RNA", at positions 524 to 776 of the family's 1533-position model. The record is from RNAcentral.
UACGGAGGAUGCAAGCGUUAUCCGGAAUUAUUGGGCGUAAAGCGUCCGUAGGUGGUUGUUCAAGUCUGCUGUUAAAGCGUGCGGCUUAACCGCAUACCAGCAGUGGAAACUGGGCGACUAGAGUGCGGUAGGGGUCAGGGGAAUUCCCAGUGUAGCGGUGAAAUGCGUAGAUAUUGGGAAGAACACCGGUGGCGAAAGCGCCUGACUGGACCUGCACUGACACUGAGGGACGAAAGCUAGGGGAGCGAAAGGG